Molecule: long non-coding RNA, 585 nt
Filed under: Mytilus galloprovincialis (Mediterranean mussel)
Lineage: Eukaryota; Metazoa; Mollusca; Bivalvia; Mytilida; Mytilidae
Source: RNAcentral
GUUAUCAUGGUAUUUUGACUGAAUUUUGAUUCGUCUGGCGAGUGAUGUAUCCAUAGCAGCAGACGCUUACAAUGACGACGUACCCGGUCUCGGUUCUCGUGUGUAUUUGAAAUAUAUUCUUAUUAAUGUAUCCACAAAUAAUUUGGAUGUAAAGCCAAAUUUUAAAAAUGUGUUGGCUAGGGAAAUUCAACGAGAUCACAUUAUAUUUAGGACAGAGAGGACAAUUUUUUCAUGUUUACACUCAUCGUAAUAUAUACUUCCUUUGAUAAAAGAGGGACGAAAGAUACCAAAGGGACAGUAAAACUCAAAAAUCUAAAACAAACUGACAACGCCAUGGCUAAAAAUGAAAAAGACAAACAGACAAACAAUAGCACACAUGACACAACAUAGAAAACUAAAGAAUAAACAACACGAACCCCACCAAAAACUAGGGAUGAUCUCAGGUGCUCCGGAAGGGUAGGCAGAUCCUGCUCCACAUGUGGAACCCGUCGUGUUGCGUUUUGUGAUAACAAAUCCGGUAAAUAGUCUAAUUCGGUAGGUAACAUUCAUGAAAGGGAAGGGGAUUGUAGUUACGACGUAAGGAAC